UAGGGAAUCUUCGGCAAUGGGGGCAACCCUGACCGAGCAACGCCGCGUGAGUGAAGAAGGUUUUCGGAUCGUAAAGCUCUGUUGUAAGAGAAGAACGUGUGUGAGAGUGGAAAGUUCACACAGUGACGGUAACUUACCAGAAAGGGACGGCUAACUACGUGCCAGCAGCCGCGGUAAUACGUAGGUCCCGAGCGUUGUCCGGAGUUAUUGGGCGUAAAGCGAGCGCAGGCGGUUUAAUAAGUCUGAAGUUAAAGGCAGUGGCUUAACCAUUGUUCGCUUUGGAAACUGUUAAACUUGAGUGCAGAAGGGGAGAGUGGAAUUCCAUGUGUAGCGGUGAAAUGCGUAAAUAUAUGGAUGGACACCGGUGGCGAAAGCGGCUCUCUGGUCUGUAACUGACGCUGAGGCUCGAAAGCGUGGGGAUCAAACAGG
Molecule: ribosomal RNA, 429 nt
Filed under: bacterium
Lineage: Bacteria
Description: partial 16S ribosomal RNA
Rfam family: Bacterial small subunit ribosomal RNA
Source: RNAcentral